UAGGGAAUAUUAGUAAUGGGCGAAAGCCUGAACUAGCAACGCCGCGUGUGCGAUGAAGGCCUUCGGGUUGUAAAGCACUUUUUGAGAGGAUGAGGAAGGACGGUACUCUCAGAAUAAGUCUCGGCUAACUACGUGCCAGUAGCCGCGGUAACACGUAGGAGGCGAACGUUAUCCGGAUUUACUGGGCGUAAAGCGCGUGUAGGUGGUUUGGUAAGUAGGGCGUGAAAGCUCCUGGCUCAACUGGGAGAGGCCGUUCUAAACUGCCGAACUAGAGGAUGGUAGAGGGAGGUGGAAUUCCGGGUGUAGCGGUGGAAUGCGCAGAUAUCCGGAGGAACACCAGUGGCGAAAGCGGCCUCCUGGACCAUUCCUGACACUCGGACGCGAAAGCUAGGGUAGCAAACGG
This 403-nucleotide ribosomal RNA is filed under the name uncultured bacterium. RNAcentral describes it as "bacterial SSU rRNA". It matches the Rfam family "Bacterial small subunit ribosomal RNA", at positions 355 to 775 of the family's 1533-position model. The record is from RNAcentral.